Molecule: ribosomal RNA, 253 nt
Filed under: uncultured bacterium
Lineage: Bacteria
Description: partial 16S ribosomal RNA
Rfam family: Bacterial small subunit ribosomal RNA
Source: RNAcentral
UACGUAGGGGGCAAGCGUUGUCCGGAUUUAUUGGGCGUAAAGAGCGUGUAGGCGGCUUGGUAGGUCCGCUGUGAAAACUCGAGGCUCAACCUCGAGAUGUCGGCGGAAACCACUUGGCUAGAGUCCGGAAGAGGCGAGUGGAACUCCUGGUGUAGCGGUGGAAUGCGCAGAUAUCAGGAGGAACACCAACGGCGAAGGCAGCUCGCUGGGACGGUACUGACGCUGAGACGCGAAAGCGUGGGGAGCGAACAGG